GACGAACGCUGGCGGCGUGCUUAACACAUGCAAGUCGAACGGAAACACCCUGCUUGUGUGGGCUGCUCGGGGGGCGAAGGGGGGAGGAACACGUGUGUAUCGGGCCCUUGACUUUGGUGUAAGUUCAGGAAACUGGGGCUAAUACCGGAUAGGAGCUCCUGCUGCGGUGUGGGGAUGGGAAAGUUUCGGCUGUUGGGGAUGGACUAGCGGCUGAUCAGCUAGUUGGUGGGGGAGUGGCUUGCCAAGGCUUGGACGGGUCGCCGGCACGAGAGGGUGACCGGGCACCUUGGGCCUGAGAUACGGCGCAGACGGCAACGGGAGGCAGUAGUGGGAAAUCUUGCCCAAUGGGACGAAGUCUGAUGCAGCAACGCCGCGUGCGGGAUGACGGCCUUCGGGGUGAAAAACGCUUUAGCCUGAGACGAAGCGUUAGUGACGGUACUGGGUAAAGAAGCACCGGCUAACUACGUG
This 468-nucleotide ribosomal RNA is filed under the name uncultured bacterium. RNAcentral describes it as "partial 16S ribosomal RNA". It matches the Rfam family "Bacterial small subunit ribosomal RNA", at positions 28 to 507 of the family's 1533-position model. The record is from RNAcentral.